This 468-nucleotide ribosomal RNA is filed under the name uncultured bacterium. Its description in RNAcentral is "partial 16S ribosomal RNA". It matches the Rfam family "Bacterial small subunit ribosomal RNA", at positions 28 to 507 of the family's 1533-position model. The record is from RNAcentral.
GACGAACGCUGGCGGCGUGCUUAACACAUGCAAGUCGAACGGAAAGGCCCUGCUUUUGUGGGGUGCUCGAGUGGCGAACGGGUGAGUAACACGUGAGUAACCUGCCCUUGACUUUGGGAUAACUUCAGGAAACUGGGGCUAAUACCGGAUAGGAGCUCCUGCUGCAUGGUGGGGGUGGGAAAGUUUCGGCGGUUGGGGAUGGACUCGCGGCUUAUCAGCUUGUUGGUGGGGUAGUGGCUUACCAAGGCUUUGACGGGUAGCCAGCCUGAGAGGGUGACCGGCCACAUUGGGACUGAGAUACGGCACAGACUCCUACGGGAGGCAGCAGUGGGGAACAUUGCACAAUGGGCGGAAGCCUGAUGCAGCAACGCCGCGUGCGGGAUGACGGCCUUCGGGUUGUAAACCGCUUUCGCCUGUGACGAAGCGUGAGUGACGGUAAUGGGUAAAGAAGCACCGGCUAACUACGUG